Molecule: ribosomal RNA, 524 nt
Filed under: uncultured bacterium
Lineage: Bacteria
Description: bacterial SSU rRNA
Rfam family: Bacterial small subunit ribosomal RNA
Source: RNAcentral
CAAGGAAUUUUCGGCAAUGGGCGCAAGCCUGACCGAGCAACGCCGCGUGCGGGAUGACGGCCUUCGGGUUGUAAACCGCUUUUGGGGGGAGUGACAUCGACCGUACCCCCCGAAUCAGCCCCGGCUCACUCUGUGCCAGCAGCCGCGGUAAGACAGAGGGGGCAAGCGUUGUCCGGAUUGACUGGGCGUAAAGCGCACGUAGGUGGUACGGCGCGUGGGGUGUGAAAUUGGCCGGCUUAACCGGUCGCCGCCAUCCCAAACGGCCGCACUCGAGGCAGACAGAGGUUGGUGGAAUUGCCGGUGUAGUGGUGAAAUGCGUAGAGAUCGGCAGGAACACCAAGGGGGAAGCCAGCCAACUGGGUCUGUCCUGACACUGAGGUGCGACAGCGUGGGGAGCGAACUGGAUUAGAUACCCAGGUAGUCCACGCCGUAAACGAUGGACGCUCGAGUGGCGGGGGUUAUCCAUACCCCUGGCGCUCUCAGCUAACGCGGAAGCGUCCCGCCUGGGAACUACGAGCGCAAGC